CAUAAAAGUUUUAUUCUAGCUAUGAUGGUUCCUACACCAUUAUUUCACAUGUAAGGGCUACCGUGAUGGAAGGAGGGAUCUAAAAGAUUUGUUGAUGCUUUAUUCGCAGUGUUUUAUAUUAGUUAUAAGAACAUUCUUGAACUAGUAAUUUGUUUAAUUCCGGCAAAAUUCGUGCCAGCCGCCGCGGUUACACGAAAGGAGUGGGGAAACAUUUUUGGUUAGCAGUUAGUUAUGCCAAUCUUGGCUAGACAUUUCUAUUUGUUAGGUGAAAUUUUAAAUUGUGACAAUGCCCAUAAGUUGGAGUUAAUGAAGCUGUGAAAAUUAAAUUAAAGACUGGGAUUAGAUACCCCAUUAUUUUAAUUGUUGAACGAAGACCAGAGUAGUAAUAGUAAGAUCUUGAAACUCAAAGAAUUUGGCGGUGUUUUAUUCCAUUCAGAGGAACCUGUUCCGUAAUCGAUACCCCACGUUUAAUUAACUUGGUCUGGGAGACAGCUUGUAUACCGCCGUCAUAAGAGUACAUCAAGAGGUGUUAUUCAGGAUUUUAAAUGAAACAAGAUGUCAGGUCAAGGUGCAGUCAAUGACCAAGGGGAAAUGGGUUACAAUAGAAGCUCUAAACGGACACAAUAAUGCAAAAGUUGUUGAAGGUGGAUUUGGGAGUAAGGAAAUUAAAAUAAAAUUCUUGAUGUAGGCUCUAAAACAUGCACACAUCGCCCGUCGCUCUCAUUUGUUAAGGUGAGAUAAGUCGUAACAUAGUAGGCGUACCGGAAGGUGUGCCUAGAAAGU
RNAcentral lists this ribosomal RNA (783 nucleotides) under Isonychia ignota. Its description in RNAcentral is "small subunit ribosomal RNA". The record is from RNAcentral. Lineage: Eukaryota; Metazoa; Arthropoda; Insecta; Ephemeroptera; Isonychiidae.